UCAGUGAAUCAUCGAGUCUUUGAACGCACAUUGCGCCCCCUGGUAUUCCGGGGGGCAUGCCUGUCCGAGCGUCAU
This 75-nucleotide ribosomal RNA is filed under the name Aspergillus aculeatus. Its description in RNAcentral is "5.8S ribosomal RNA". It matches the Rfam family "5.8S ribosomal RNA", at positions 81 to 154 of the family's 154-position model. From Rfam's summary of the family: 5.8S ribosomal RNA (5.8S rRNA) is a component of the large subunit of the eukaryotic ribosome. It is transcribed by RNA polymerase I as part of the 45S precursor that also contains 18S and 28S rRNA. RNAcentral also lists the same sequence under 1 other name. Lineage: Eukaryota; Fungi; Ascomycota; Eurotiomycetes; Eurotiales; Aspergillaceae. The record is from RNAcentral.